UAGUAUUAUUAGUAAAAGGGUGCUGAUGCAGCUUAAUAGGGAAUUCGGUGAGAAGCCGAAGCUGUCCCCGCAACUGUAAGUGCAGACGACCGCGGAUAAAGCUACUGUUCGCAGAACGGGAAGGAGCGCGGAAGAGAGAAGCAUAAGCCAGGAGACCUGCCCUUUUACAGCGUUUAUU
RNAcentral lists this non-coding RNA (178 nucleotides) under Bacillus thermotolerans. Lineage: Bacteria; Bacillati; Bacillota; Bacilli; Caryophanales; Bacillaceae. RNAcentral also lists the same sequence under 1 other name. The record is from RNAcentral.